GAUGAACGCUAGCGGGAGGCCUAACACAUGCAAGCCGAGCGGUAUAGAAUCUUUGGAUUUUAGAGAGCGGCGUACGGGUGCGGAACACGUGUGCAACCUACCUUUAUCUGGAGGAUAGCCUUUCGAAAGGAAGAUUAAUACUCCAUAAUAUAUUGAUUGGCAUCAAUUAAUAUUGAAAGCUCCGGCGGAUAGAGAUGGGCACGCGCAAGAUUAGUUAGUUGGUGAGGUAACGGCUCACCAAGACGAUGAUCUUUAGGGGGCCUGAGAGGUGAUCCCCACACUGGUACUGAGACACGGACCAGACUCCUACGGGAGGCAGCAGUGAGGAAUAUUGGUCAAAUGGGGUGCAAGCCUGAUCCAGCCAUCCCGCGUGAAGGACGACUGCCCUAUGGGUUGUAAACUUCUUUUGUAUAGGGAUAAACCUCUCCUCGUGAGGAGAGCUGAAGGUACUAUACGAAUAAGCACCGGCUAACUCCGUGCCAGCAGCCGCGUAA
RNAcentral lists this ribosomal RNA (494 nucleotides) under uncultured bacterium. Its description in RNAcentral is "bacterial SSU rRNA". It matches the Rfam family "Bacterial small subunit ribosomal RNA", at positions 28 to 522 of the family's 1533-position model. The record is from RNAcentral.